RNAcentral lists this non-coding RNA (91 nucleotides) under Ctenophora environmental sample. Lineage: Eukaryota; Metazoa; Ctenophora. The record is from RNAcentral.
AGAAACUGAAACCAGGUAAUUUCAAAGUCAUUUUUUGUUCUUUUUUUCUUUCUGUCUGUCUGUCCUUUUUUGUAUUUGUUAUUGGCAAAAU